GGUCCCUUAGCUCAAUUGGUUAGAGCAUCUGACUCAUAAUCAGGCGGUUAUCAGUUCAAGUCUGGUAGGGACCA
Molecule: transfer RNA, 74 nt
Filed under: Bacteriophage sp.
Also listed under: 1 other name
Description: tRNA-Met
Rfam family: tRNA
About the family: Transfer RNA (tRNA) molecules are approximately 80 nucleotides in length. Their secondary structure includes four short double-helical elements and three loops (D, anti-codon, and T loops). Further hydrogen bonds mediate the characteristic L-shaped molecular structure. tRNAs have two regions of fundamental functional importance: the anti-codon, which is responsible for specific mRNA codon recognition, and the 3' end, to which the tRNAs corresponding amino acid is attached (by aminoacyl-tRNA synthetases). tRNAs cope with the degeneracy of the genetic code in two manners: having more than one tRNA (with a specific anti-codon) for a particular amino acid; and 'wobble' base-pairing, i.e. permitting non-standard base-pairing at the 3rd anti-codon position.
Source: RNAcentral